RNAcentral lists this unclassified non-coding RNA (380 nucleotides) under soil metagenome. Its description in RNAcentral is "partial contains 5.8S ribosomal RNA, internal transcribed spacer 2, and large subunit ribosomal RNA". The stretch from base 1 to 120 matches the Rfam family "5.8S ribosomal RNA", at positions 35 to 154 of the family's 154-position model. The record is from RNAcentral.
GAUGAAGAACGUAGCGAAAUGCGAUAAGUAAUGUGAAUUGCAGAAUUCAGUGAUUCAUCGAAUCUUUGAACGCACCUUGCACCCUUUGGCAUUCUGAAGGGUAUGCUCGUUUGAGUGUCAUUGUACUCUCACACUCCCGAUCUUUGCAUUGGGAGCAGUGGACUUGGGUUUGCUGCUUCACCGUCGCUUACCUCAAAUAGGUUAGUGCAACUCUUGGUUGGACAUAGUACGGCGUGAUAAGUGUUCUUCGCCGGUGCCUCGCAAAGAGGGUGGCCGAUCGGGAUGUUGUGCUCCAAACCGUCUUCGGACAAUCUCUGACGACUUGACCUCAAAUCGAGUAAGACUACCCGCUGAACUUAAGCAUAUCAAUAAGCGGAGGA